This is a small nucleolar RNA of Rhinolophus ferrumequinum (greater horseshoe bat), 137 nucleotides long. Ensembl annotates it as small nucleolar RNA, C/D box 94. Its record names the gene SNORD94. Lineage: Eukaryota; Metazoa; Chordata; Mammalia; Chiroptera; Rhinolophidae. The record is from Ensembl.
CAGGCUGUGAUGAUUGGCGCAGGGGUACGGACCUCAGCUAAGUCAUGGGAGCUGAGUGUGUGUGUUUCUCCUCUGUCCUGCAUGUGGCAGGAUGGUGGUGAGCACAUACACGAGACUGAAGCCUCACUCUGAGCCUG